AAGGCGGCGGCCGGAGCGCGAUGGCGGGGGCGGCGGGACUCACGGCAGAAGUGAGCUGGAAGGUCUUGGAGCGAAGAGCUCGGACCAAGCGCUCAGGUCUCUUUUAUUCAAAACCUUGUAUUUUGUGUGGAAAGAGUUUACCGUGUGCCUGACUUUGGUGUCUGGGAAAGAGGAAGCAAAUAUAAUAAUGGCAGCACAGAGCUACAUUCGAGGUAAUUUGCUGAUUUCUGAGGUUUUUUUUUAAAUUAAAUGUAUGGAAUUUGAAUAUGAAGAAAUACUGAAGCAUUAGAUUGGAACUGUGAUUCAUAUGUUAAUUUGUAGCAAUUUUUUUCUACCUAUGAUGCAGAUGGAAGUCACUUAAAAUUAACACAAAAGAGCCCAUCCUCAGUACCCAUAAACAGAUGCAAGAAAGAAGUAGGUGUCUUUCCCAACCUCCCAAGGUGUCAGUACAUGCAUGUCAGCCUUCAUCAUUAAUCCACAGCUUGGCCUUUCUGCUCAACCAAGUCAUUUUCUUUUUCCUCUUUGAAAUUACCUCAUUUGAAAUGUCAAGAACAUUAAAAUUUUCAAACACCAGUUGUAUAUGCACUGAAUAUAAAAUUUCCUUCCAUGUUAUAGAGCUGAUUUUUAUCCUGACCACGGAUGCUUACACUGUUCACAUAAAACUUAACAUUCAUUGUUAUCAGUAAGGUGUGUGAUCAACAUCUUGAGCUGUGGUUUAGUGCGUUUGAAUAAGCAACAAUAGCUGAUAACUGAUGUUAGUAGUUUAUGAAUUUCUUUUAAUCCUUAGGGUUAAGGAAGUAGCUUUAGUGACUGAUUGUACCUUUCCU
Molecule: small RNA, 827 nt
Filed under: Pan troglodytes (chimpanzee)
Lineage: Eukaryota; Metazoa; Chordata; Mammalia; Primates; Hominidae
Description: retained intron
Source: RNAcentral